Molecule: small nucleolar RNA, 109 nt
Organism: Rhododendron vialii
Lineage: Eukaryota; Viridiplantae; Streptophyta; Magnoliopsida; Ericales; Ericaceae
Product: small nucleolar RNA snoR100
Exons: 1
Source: RefSeq, a predicted model, not a curated record
CAAUGAAGGAAACAUGAUAAUGUGCACAGAAAUUGAAUUGGGUCUCUAAGCCUGUCUUUUUUUAUGCCAUUUGGCUUUGAUGUGGGGACAUGGUUCUGUAACAACAAUA